Molecule: ribosomal RNA, 484 nt
Filed under: uncultured bacterium
Lineage: Bacteria
Description: partial 16S ribosomal RNA
Rfam family: Bacterial small subunit ribosomal RNA
Source: RNAcentral
AUUGAACGCUGGCGGCAUGCUUUACACAUGCAAGUCGAACGGCAGCGCGGGCUUCGGCCUGGCGGCGAGUGGCGAACGGGUGAGUAAUGCAUCGGAACGUGCCCAGUAGUGGGGGAUAGCCCGGCGAAAGCCGGAUUAAUACCGCAUACGACCUGAGGGUGAAAGCGGGGGACCGAAAGGCCUCGCGCUAUUGGAGCGGCCGAUGUCGGAUUAGCUAGUUGGUGGGGUAAAGGCUUACCAAGGCGACGAUCCGUAGCUGGUCUGAGAGGACGACCAGCCACACUGGGACCGAGACACGGCCCAGACUCCUACGGGAGGCUGCAGUGGGGAAUUUUGGACAAUGGGGGCAACCCUGAUCCAGCCAUGCCGCGUGCGGGAAGAAGGCCCUCGGGUUGUAAACCGCUUUUGUUCGGGAAGAAAUCCUCUGGGCUAAUACCCCGGGGGGAUGACGGUACCGGAAGAAUAAGCACCGGCUAACUACGUG